GUCCCCGUAGCCCAAUGGCAGAGGCAGGCGACUUAAAAUCGCCCCAGUGCGGGUUCGAGACCCGUCGGGGACACCA
This 76-nucleotide transfer RNA is filed under the name Chloroflexota bacterium. RNAcentral's name for it is "tRNA-Leu". It matches the Rfam family "tRNA". From Rfam's summary of the family: Transfer RNA (tRNA) molecules are approximately 80 nucleotides in length. Their secondary structure includes four short double-helical elements and three loops (D, anti-codon, and T loops). Lineage: Bacteria; Bacillati; Chloroflexota. The record is from RNAcentral.